This 449-nucleotide ribosomal RNA is filed under the name Selenops sp. BOLD:ACO1326. Its description in RNAcentral is "partial 16S ribosomal RNA". The record is from RNAcentral. Lineage: Eukaryota; Metazoa; Arthropoda; Arachnida; Araneae; Selenopidae. RNAcentral also lists the same sequence under 1 other name.
UUCUAUUAGUUAUAAUUAAUAGUAUAAUCUGCUCAAUGAAAAUUAAAUAGCCGCAAAAUCUGUGCUAAGGUAGCAUAAUCAUUUGUCUUUUAAAUGAAGACCAGAACAAAAGAUUAAACAUUUAAAUUAAUAUCCUAUUUUCAACAUUUCAACUUAUCUUAAAUGUAAAAAGACAUUUAUAUAAAAGAAAGACGACAAGACCCUAUUGAACUUUACUUAAGUUAAACUGGGGCAGUCAAUUAAUAAUCACUUUAAUUUUUAAAAAUUCACAAAAAAAUCCAAUAUUAUUGAAUAAUCAAGUUACCAUAGGGAUAACAGCGUAAUAAUUAUUUAAAGCUCUUAUAAAAAUAAUAGCUUGCAACCUCGAUGUUGAAUUAAUAACCUAAUUAAAGCAAAAAUUAAUAAAGGAAGUCUGUUCGACUUUUAAAAAAUUACGUGAUCUGAGUUCA